UGCGUAGGCGGUCUUGUAGGUCAGAUGUGAAAGCCCACGGCUCAACCGUGGAAUUGCGUUUGAAACCACAAGACUUGAGGGGAUCAGAGGAGAGCGGAACUGAUGGUGGAGCGGUGAAAUGCGUUGAUAUCAUCAGGAACACCGGUGGCGAAAGCGGCUCUCUGGGAUCUUUCUGACGCUGAGGCACGAAAGCUAGGGGAGCGAACG
This 207-nucleotide ribosomal RNA is filed under the name uncultured bacterium. RNAcentral describes it as "partial 16S ribosomal RNA". It matches the Rfam family "Bacterial small subunit ribosomal RNA", at positions 568 to 774 of the family's 1533-position model. The record is from RNAcentral.